ACAAGUGUGACAUCAGCGGUCAUGGAGAGUCUCCAUCCAGCUGGAUCACUGUCACAGACAAACGCACCACCACACCUACAUCCAUCUCUCCUCCAUCAUUCUCUCCUCCUGUUCUCUCUGUGUUGUCAUCUGUUGGAUCAGUCUACUGGUGUUAUUGGUUCUUCUGGUGAGACAAGAUGUUGACAGGAAACCUGAAGACUUUAAACCAGAGCCAGACGUCGUCUACUCUUCACUGAAGGAGUCCACCAGUCAAACCACUGACAUCCAGCUGCUGGUCUCUAACUGGGCCCCGCAGCACUUCGGACCAGAGGACAUCCACAUAUAAUCCAUGACAUUAGAAAUAAAUCUGAAUCAGAUAAAAUAUAAUUGAAUAUGUUUCCAUUGAAUAGAAUCUAACACCGACUUUCAGUUGAUUAGUUGUCUUUUCUCUACCAGCCUUCAGUCUUUCGUUAAUUUCUCUCGUUAAACCCUCUGGAUUUUCUACUUUUGCCUUUUGGUAAAAGCACCAUUUUAAAAGUCUUACAUUAAAAAAGUCAUUUGUUAUUAUAAUGCUGCGUCCUCUGGAGUUUUACUGUUUUCUAUAUUUUCUUUAUCUUUGUUGGAUACUACAUUUGGGGACCUGGUUUGUCUGUUGCUUGUCUGCAGUUUCAAAAAGGUGCCAGAUGGAAAAUUUGACUUGUUCGAGGUCAACUAACCAAUAAAUGUAUCACAGGUUCUUUAUUAACUAGCUGACAAAAAAGGGGACAGUACAGUGUGUUUUUAUUCUUAGGAAAUAUUUUACUUAUUUAGUGAUACAGGAGAAUAAAAAAUAUCACAACAUGAAAACGGAGAGCUGAAGAGAGAAAGUAGAGCUCCUCUUACUAACAGUGAUCCCAGGAAUAACAUUUGAAAUCUGCUGCCAUCUACUGGUAAUACUGGGUGUUACAGCAUAGCAGCUUCUUUCUAAAUGACAGCAGUCAUUUAUAGCUUGAGCUUUCAGUGCCCACCUGGUGACCCUAGCGGUAAGGUUAGGAUUUGUUUGCAUUUUAAACACAUGCUAAAUGAUGGUUUCAUUCCUUACAAACCAUCUGUGAGCUUAACCUGAUCCACUAACAGGCUGGCUGGAUAAAAGUUGCUCUGGUAAAGAGCACGAGGAAUACUCUCUGACCUGCUGCAGAGACCUGGCUGAAGAAGCAGAAAGCAAAAACCAGAAAAAAAUCAGCCAAAAAAACGAUAGUUCCUGAAAGUAGCACUGAAGGCCAAAUUAAAGACAUUAUGUUUGAAUUAGCAUUUGUAAUUAGUUUUAGAUCUGCUCAAAGAGAAAUUCAAUCAGGUCUUCUGCAAAGUUUAGUCCUUCGUUCUUAUUAGCCCUGCUUCACGAGUAUCUACUCGGGUCAGAUUGACUUGGUUUUUAAGGUUUUCCAUUAGGGGGUAGUACCUAAUAACAGGUAAUUUUUUUAUACUGGACAGGGUUCAAAGCAAUCGGAGGCAAUCAGGGGUCCUCUAUUUUUGUGUUGUGUUUGUGUCACAUACGUAAAUGGACUUUGGGCAACAUUUCUAACAACCCCACAUAUUAGGAGGUAUAAAUUCUAAUGGAAAAUGGACAAAACUGAGUAGAUUCAAUUAGGUACAAGUGGGAAAAAGGUUCUAACUGUUCAACCUUUACAUACAUUUGCUUGAUAUUAUUAUUAUUAUCAUCAUAAAUAAUUUUCAUGUAUUUUACCACACUUAUGCAGUUUUACUCACCAUUGUCCUCUGAUAAUAUAACAAACCAAUGAGCUGGUUGUCUGAAAGAAAUGGAACUGAAAAGAGACGAGACAGACAUAUUUGUGAUUGGUCCAAAAGUCUGAGACACAAAAUGUGGUCAUAUUUAUCUCUGUCUCUGAGUCACAGUGAGGAAGUCAGUCACGGUUUUGUUUUGUUAAGGGUAUCAGAGCUGCUUUCUAUCACUUAAAAAAAUUAAAGAAAUCUACCAAUAUAUAAUUCCCCAGUUUUGGUGAGAGAAAUCCCGGGAUUUGAUUUAAAUGAUACUGAGCACUAAUUAGCAGGUAUCUGAGUCUGUGUGAUGCUCCCAUACAGUCUGUGGAUGAGCCUUUCUUUUGUCUGGCAGUUUUAGAAGCAGAAUCAUCGUCUGAAUGCUUUGUUGUGCCAAACACAAAGAGAUGCAUUAUGGACUCUCUGUAGGCUCCUCUCUUUUUUAUCUUUUUGUUUUAUUUAUUUAUUUUAUUACUAUUUAAUUCAUUAUCACUUCCAGAGCAAAAAAGUGGAUGAAAGCCACUUUGGGAGAAGACAGGAGAAGAACGCUAAGAUAUUAGAAGUGACAGAGAGAAUGUGAGUGUCUGUGUUGAGCAUUUGUCAUGAAAAUGAACUUGGAAAUGAGGUUGAGGCUGUUCAUGGACCCCCGAGAGUGCUGAAGACCUAGAGUCACACAUCUCAAUCACAACUGUUCGUCCAUCCCAGCAGGGGAAAGAGGGAGGGCCCAGAUGGAGCUCCCCAUGCCAAGUGCAGGAGUGCCAGUCACCCACACAAAAACUGCACAAGGACAGAUGUACUGAGAGACUCCUGCACUGAUGUUUCAUAGGAAAGUCCAAACAGCCUCACUGCUUCUCCAUGAAGAACAAAGAUUUGCUCUCUGUGGCUCCAACACAACUUAAAGACAAUCAAAGGUGGACAAAGUUCUCCAGAACAGCUGUACCUUUAUUCAUUAGAACAAGUAUAUUGCAGUUCACUGAGAGACAGACAGAUUUUGUCUUUACAUAUCUACCUGUUUCCUUGGAAACAAAUCCAAUUGCUGUAACUGUGACACUUGCUUUGCAUAUACAGUAGAUCUUUAUCAAAAAAUGAGGAUGUGAGCUUUGAUGUCACACACAGUGGUGUUGAAGAGGAACAGGAAUCAGUUCGUUCAGCUUUUUAGUACAAAGGUCAGUUCACCCACAGAUUACUUUUACAAAAAAGAAAUUGCUUGUGUUGAACAAACCUUAAUCGGGCCCCUUUUAACCGACAGAGAAACUCUCACUUUUUAUCUUUAUAUGGAUUUUUGUUCCAUCCUGAUGAUCAGAAGAGUGUUUGAGGAUUUAAGAUUUCUUAAGAAUAACUAAAUAGUAAGUGUUAGCUGUCUUUUUUAAAAUCAUUUUCAGCCUUUUUAUGUAGUAAAAAGUUCAUGUUGUAAUGGUUACAGUUUGGUUAACAUCCACCCACAAAAAUGUUUUAACAGAACAACUGAUUCAAAACAGUCACACCUAACACUACCGUUUCUCUCCAAUUCCCCCUCAACCAGCCUAGAGAAGUUGACAUGAUUUAAAUGUAGAUAAAAGGCUCGUCUGUUUACAUCUCUCCCUCACAGAAGGCUUCUCUGCAGAGCAUCAAAUCUGCAUGGCAAAGUGACACACUUUAGGUGAUCUUCAUCCUUGGGAAAAGUGGUGUCAACUAUUUCCCAGUCUCCUAGUAUUUGUGCCUCACACAGAAUCACAAUUCCAUCGCUGGACUUCCUCUGCGCUGUCACUUUUGGAGCUUGGCACGCUCUCUCCAUCCCUCAGGUUCUCAUGUUCCAACGCUGCUGAAGAUUUAAGGCAGAGCACGUCGUACACCUUAGUUGUCUUCCUCAGCGUCAACAUUGAAUCUUUCAUUUUAUUUAAAUUUUGCUGUGGGAAGUCUCCUCUUGAUCUCCUGGAAGCUCAGUAGCACAGCUCUCUGUGUGAUGUCUGCUGUGCUGAAGAUGAUCUCUGAUCCUCCUGAAGCCUCUCUCCUGGCCUCAGCUCCCAUCUUGUGGACGAUCCUCUCAGCCACUCCUUCUCGUCAUGGCACCUCACGACAUCUACAAAUUGAAAAA
This is a long non-coding RNA of Haplochromis burtoni (Burton's mouthbrooder), 3808 nucleotides long. RefSeq lists it as uncharacterized. Lineage: Eukaryota; Metazoa; Chordata; Actinopteri; Cichliformes; Cichlidae. The transcript is spliced from 3 exons. The record is from RefSeq and is a predicted model, not a curated record.